GGGCCCAUAGUUCAAUGGUAGAAUGCGCCCCUGGCAGGGGUGUGAUUCGGGUUCAAAUCCCGGUGGGUCCA
Molecule: transfer RNA, 71 nt
Filed under: Candidatus Pacearchaeota archaeon
Lineage: Archaea; Nanobdellati
Description: tRNA-Ala
Rfam family: tRNA
About the family: Transfer RNA (tRNA) molecules are approximately 80 nucleotides in length. Their secondary structure includes four short double-helical elements and three loops (D, anti-codon, and T loops).
Source: RNAcentral